GCUCUCGUGGAUGAAUUGGCGCAUCACCCGAUCGCAGUAUAGCGGUCGUAGUGUAGGCUGAAUGGGAGGUGGGGGUUCGAGUCCCCCCGAGGGCA
Non-coding RNA from Mycena rebaudengoi, 95 nucleotides. Lineage: Eukaryota; Fungi; Basidiomycota; Agaricomycetes; Agaricales; Mycenaceae. The record is from the annotation of a GenBank genome assembly.